This 407-nucleotide ribosomal RNA is filed under the name uncultured bacterium. RNAcentral describes it as "partial 16S ribosomal RNA". It matches the Rfam family "Bacterial small subunit ribosomal RNA", at positions 28 to 526 of the family's 1533-position model. The record is from RNAcentral.
GACGAACGCUGGCGGCGUGCCUAAUACAUGCAAGUAGGACGCAGUUGCGACCGGGUGAGUAACGCGUAGGUAACUACCUAUUAGAGGGGGAUAACUAUUGGAAACGAUAGCUAAUACCGCAUACUAGUAGAUGGACCUGCGUUGUAUUAGCUAGUAGGUAGGGUAAUGGCCUACCAAGGCAACGAUACAUAGCCGAGCGGAGCGGGUGAGCGGCCACACUGGGACUGAGACACGGCCCAGACUCCUACGGGAGGCAGCAGAAGGGAAUCUUCGGCAAUGGGGGGAACCCUGACCGAGCCACGCCGCGUGAGUUAAGAAGGUGUUCGGAUCGUAAAGCUCUGUUGUUAAGGAGGCGGUACGUAACCAGAAAGGGACGGCUAACUCCGUGCCAGCAGCCGCGGUAAUUC